CACGUACUUUCUCGGUCCAACAAAAAAUAUUUCAAGUUUGUCAAAAUUUAGAUGUAUCUAAACAUGACUUAGUGUAUAGAUGCAUUCAAAUUUAAUCAAAAUUGAGACAUCCUUUGUUGGACGGAGGAAGCAUGAU
Non-coding RNA from Brachypodium distachyon (stiff brome), 136 nucleotides. The record is from Rfam. NCBI's taxonomy places the organism in Eukaryota, Viridiplantae, Streptophyta, Magnoliopsida, Poales, Poaceae.